This 447-nucleotide ribosomal RNA is filed under the name uncultured bacterium. Its description in RNAcentral is "partial 16S ribosomal RNA". It matches the Rfam family "Bacterial small subunit ribosomal RNA", at positions 29 to 507 of the family's 1533-position model. The record is from RNAcentral.
AACGAACGCUGGCGGCAUGCCUAACACAUGCAAGUCGAACGAUGCCUUCGGGCAUAGUGGCGCACGGGUGCGUAACGCGUGGGAAUCUGCCCUUGGCUUCGGAAUAACAGUUAGAAAUGACUGCUAAUACCGGAUGAUGUCCCCUUGAGAGAUCUUGGGGACCAAAGAUUUAUCGGCCAGGGAUGAGCCCGCGUAGGAUUAGGUAGUUGGUGGGGUAAAGGCCUACCAAGCCGACGAUCCUUAGCUGGUCUGAGAGGAUGAUCAGCCACACUGGGACUGAGACACGGCCCAGACUCCUACGGGAGGCAGCAGUGGGGAAUAUUGGACAAUGGGGGGAACCCUGAUCCAGCAAUGCCGCGUGAGUGAUGAAGGCCUUAGGGUUGUAAAGCUCUUUUACCAGGGAUGAUAAUGACAGUACCUGGAGAAUAAGCGCCGGCUAACUCCGUG